ACGGGUGAGUAAUGUCUGGGGAUCUGCCCGAUAGAGGGGGAUAACCACUGGAAACGGUGGCUAAUACCGCAUAACGUCGCAAGACCAAAGAGGGGGACCUUCGGGCCUCUCACUAUCGGAUGAACCCAGAUGGGAUUAGCUAGUAGGCGGGGUAACGGCCCACCUAGGCGACGAUCCCUAGCUGGUCUGAGAGGAUGACCAGCCACACUGGAACUGAGACACGGUCCAGACUCCUACGGGAGGCAGCAGUGGGGAAUAUUGCACAAUGGGCGCAAGCCUGAUGCAGCCCUGCCGCGUGUAUGAAGAAGGCCUUAGGGUUGUAAAGUACUUUCAGCGGGGAGGAAGGCGAUAAGGUUAAUAACCUUGUCGAUUGACGUUACCCGCAGAAGAAGCACCGGCUAACUCCGUGCCAGCAGCCGCGGUAAUACGGAGGGUGCAAGCGUUAAUCGGAAUUACUGGGCGUAAAGCGCACGCAGGCGGUCUGUUAAGUCAGAUGUGAAAUCCCCGGGCUUAACCUGGGAACUGCAUUUGAAACUGGCAGGCUUGAGUCUCGUAGAGGGGGGUAGAAUUCCAGGUGUAGC
Molecule: ribosomal RNA, 581 nt
Filed under: uncultured bacterium
Lineage: Bacteria
Description: bacterial SSU rRNA
Rfam family: Bacterial small subunit ribosomal RNA
Source: RNAcentral